RNAcentral lists this ribosomal RNA (434 nucleotides) under uncultured Gammaproteobacteria bacterium. Its description in RNAcentral is "bacterial SSU rRNA". It matches the Rfam family "Bacterial small subunit ribosomal RNA", at positions 546 to 978 of the family's 1533-position model. The record is from RNAcentral. Lineage: Bacteria; Pseudomonadati; Pseudomonadota; Gammaproteobacteria.
CGGAAUUACUGGGCGUAAAGCGUGCGUAGGCGGUUCGUUAAGUCAGAUGUGAAAGCCCUGGGCUCAACCUGGGAACUGCAUUUGAAACUGGCGGACUAGAGUUUAGUAGAGGGGAGUGGAAUUUCAGGUGUAGCGGUGAAAUGCGUAGAUAUCUGAAGGAACACCAGUGGCGAAGGCGACUCCCUGGACUAGAACUGACGCUGAGGUACGAAAGCGUGGGUAGCAAACAGGAUUAGAUACCCUGGUAGUCCACGCCGUAAACGAUGUCAACUAGCCGUUGGUCCUAUUUACAGGAUUAGUGGCGCAGCUAACGCAUUAAGUUGACCGCCUGGGGAGUACGGCCGCAAGGUUAAAACUCAAAUGAAUUGACGGGGGCCCGCACAAGCGGUGGAGCAUGUGGUUUAAUUCGAUGCAACGCGAAGAACCUUACCUAC